Molecule: long non-coding RNA, 231 nt
Filed under: Capsella rubella
Lineage: Eukaryota; Viridiplantae; Streptophyta; Magnoliopsida; Brassicales; Brassicaceae
Description: long non-coding RNA (CRUB_LNC000126)
Source: RNAcentral
GUACUUAGCCCAUUUGGGACUGAAUUUCAACAAGUCUUUCUCCAAACUUCUAAACACUCUUCAUGAUGCUCUAGCACUUGUAAUCAAUCAAAAUAAUUGUAUUCUAACAUAUUCUAACCCCAAGAAACAGUAUAGAGGCCAUUUAAUGCUUGAAAGCAAAGGUUGUGGGUUCUUAGCUCAUUUCGGCCCAAAUUUCAGCAAGUCAUUCUACACUCUUCUAAACACUCUUCU